AAGAAACCAACAGGGAUUGCCCUAGUAACGGCGAGUGAAGCGGCAACAGCUCAAAUUUGAAAUCUGGCGCAAGCCCGAGUUGUAAUUUGCAGAGGAUGCUUCUGGGUAGCGACCGGUCUAAGUUCCUUGGAACAGGACGUCAUAGAGGGUGAGAAUCCCGUAUGUGACCGGCCCGCACCCUCCACGUAGCUCCUUCGACGAGUCGAGUUGUUUGGGAAUGCAGCUCUAAAUGGGAGGUAAAUUUCUUCUAAAGCUAAAUACCGGCCAGAGACCGAUAGCGCACAAGUAGAGUGAUCGAAAGAUGAAAAGCACUUUGGAAAGAGAGUUAAAAAGCACGUGAAAUUGUUGAAAGGGAAGCGCUCACAACCAGACUUCGCGGCGGUGUUCAACCGGUCUUCUGACCGGUCUACUCUCCGCCGCGAGGCCAACAUCGUCUGGGCCCGCCGGAUAAGACGGGGGGAAUGUAGCUUGCCUUCGGGGAAGUGUUAUAGCCCUCUUUGAUGCGGCGCGGCUCGGGCGAGGUCCGCACUUCGGUAAGGAUGUUGGCGUAAUGGUUGUCAGCGGCCCGUCUUGAAACACGGACCAAGGAGUCUAACAUCUAUGCGAGUGUUCGGGUGUCAAACCCCUACGCGUAAUGAAAGUGAACGGAGGUGAGAACUUUACAGUGCAUCAUCGACCGAUCCUGAUGUCCUCGGAUGGAUUUGAGUAAGAGCAUAGCUGUUGGGACCCGAAAGAUGGUGAACUAUGCCUGAAUAGGGUGAAGCCAGAGGAAACUCUGGUGGAGGCUCGCAGCGGUUCUGACGUGCAAAUCGAUCGUCAAAUUUGGGUAUAGGGGCGAAAGACUAAUCGAACCAU
This 855-nucleotide ribosomal RNA is filed under the name Pachyramichloridium pini. RNAcentral describes it as "eukaryotic LSU rRNA". It matches the Rfam family "Eukaryotic large subunit ribosomal RNA", at positions 59 to 943 of the family's 3401-position model. The record is from RNAcentral. Lineage: Eukaryota; Fungi; Ascomycota; Dothideomycetes; Mycosphaerellales; Mycosphaerellaceae.